GGAUUUAAAAGUAAUCUUUGGAAAGGGUCCUGCGCACAAUCUCUUCCAAAUGACGCUGAUGAAAGCGCACCCAUGUGGAAGAAGAAAUCUAUAUUUUGGGACCUACCCUAUUGGAAAGACCUAGAGGUCCGCUCUGCAAUCGACAUGGUGCACAUGAAGAAGAAUCUUUGCAUGAACAUGCUAGGCUUCUUGGGCGUGUAUGGGAAGACAAAAUAUACACUGGAGGCACGGGAGGACCGACAAUGUAUGCACGAAAAAGACGGCAUGCAUCCAAAGCAGUAUCAGGGUCCUACCAGCUAUGCUCUUACCAAAGAAGAGAAA
This 321-nucleotide ribosomal RNA is filed under the name Triticum aestivum (bread wheat). RNAcentral's name for it is "partial small subunit ribosomal RNA". Lineage: Eukaryota; Viridiplantae; Streptophyta; Magnoliopsida; Poales; Poaceae. The record is from RNAcentral.